AACUAGAUUGUAAGAGCCUGGCAGGGUUCCACUUAUUUGGUAAGAGGAAAGGAAUAAGCUACAUGGAAUCUCCAGAAAGUUGCAAACUUAGUGUGUAUCUGGACUUUCUUUACCACAACAGGGACCCGUGCAUGGUUGGCUUUCAAUUAUCUGGGGAAAAAGGAACCAGUGACCCUGAGACUCCAAGGUCAAGGUGCUCCUCUAGGUGUGGGGCCAAAUACAGUGAGAAGACAUGGUCACAGGCAACAAGGAAGACAACCGGGGUAAGGCAGGACUGUACAUGAAACCACUGGAGGAGAAGAAA
RNAcentral lists this long non-coding RNA (304 nucleotides) under Homo sapiens (human). RNAcentral describes it as "HSALNT0143165". Lineage: Eukaryota; Metazoa; Chordata; Mammalia; Primates; Hominidae. The record is from RNAcentral.